Molecule: long non-coding RNA, 1457 nt
Filed under: Macaca fascicularis (crab-eating macaque)
Lineage: Eukaryota; Metazoa; Chordata; Mammalia; Primates; Cercopithecidae
Description: lncRNA (ENSMFAG00000060637.1)
Source: RNAcentral
UUUUUUUUUUUUUUUUUUUUUUUUGAGACAGAGUCUCACUCUGUCACCAGGCUGGAGUGCAGUGGCACAAUCUCAGCUCAUUGCAACCUCUGCCUCCCGGGUUCAAGUGAUUCUCCUGCCUCAACCUCCCGAGUAGCUGGGACUACAGGCAUGCACCACCAUGCGCGGCUAAUUUUUGUAUUUUUAGCAGAGACGGGGUUUCACCAUUGUUGGCCAGGAUGGUCUCCAUCUUCUUGACCUCAUGAUCUGCCCGCCGUAGUCUCCCAAAGUUCUGGGAUUACAGGAGUGAGACACUGCGCCCAGCUGGCCCCUCCUUUUCUAUUUCCCAUCAACCAAAGAGGUACUUGUGGGACCAGCAUCUCUUGGGGCCAUCUCCCCAAGCCCUCACACAUUUCCCACUGUCCAGGUAGCUCUCUCAUGGCUUUCCUGUGGCCCUGGCACCUCUACCCUGAGUUUGAAAUGUAGCAGCUUUUAUAGAUGCUGCAAACUGAUUAUUUCAACUGCUCAUAAAUUAACCCGCACUCAUGAUUUAAAAAUUCCAGUGGAGGUUUCAUCACAUCUCAAUCCUGGAAAGGUGUGUUUGAAACUCAUGCAAUCCAAACAGGGACGUAGGUUUCAUUCCUUGACUAUGGAAUGGAGGGAAUGCUCUGUUACCCUUGAAAGAAGGGGAAAGGACAAAAUAUACGAUUCCUGGCUGUCCACCCCAUAUCCUACAGGCAAUGCGAGCCUCAUGAAUUACAAGGCCCCAUGACUGCAGACGGUACGGAGUGUGGGGUGGCAGGGAGUGGACCUCCGGCACUGCAUGGCCAAUGGGAAGCAGAUCAUUCAUCCCCACAGUCUCUCAGGAUUAGAUUACGCAUGCUCUUCUGCUUUUAGAGUAUUCCAGAAGCCUUCAUGCCCUCCAUCAUCUCUACAGUGACUACUCUUCAGUAGAUACUGCGGCACUGGAUGGGGAAAAAGAUGAUUCAGGACCUGGGCCAGGUGACCUGGGGGUGGGAAUUAGUCCCCUUUCCUGUUCUCUGCAGCAUGGUGAAGCCUAUGUGGCAGUAACAUGACACCGCAAGUCACACUAACUGGUUACGUGUGACUGAGAGCAGGGACUAAAGCAGGGUAAAGGGGGCCUAAACCCCCCACUCUCCUAGUGAGCCCACAGGAGCUCCUCAGUCCUGAGCCCCACGCAGAUGGGCUGAGUCCCCCAGCAGCCUGGGCUAUGCCCACAGGGCGGGAGUGGCUCCCACAGCUCAGACCACUACGCUUGAUAGACUGCAGAGCCAGCUUUUGUCCCAGGUCACCCGCCAGCACAGCAAGGCCACGACUCCUCCUCCUGUUGGAUGGCUGGUCACAGCUGCUGGGUGGCCCUCUCCUAAUGCCAUCAAGGAACAGUUUUUAUACCACAGGACAGUAAAGAAGCCCAGAUAGGGGUUUUCUGGAAGCUCCCCAUGAAGGCUGAGCUGGCC